Molecule: non-coding RNA, 21 nt
Filed under: Caenorhabditis elegans
Lineage: Eukaryota; Metazoa; Nematoda; Chromadorea; Rhabditida; Rhabditidae
Source: RNAcentral
UCAAAAUCAAAGAUAUGCGGC